ACGUACACUCCUGCGGGAGGCAGCAGUGAGGAAUAUUGGACAAUGGGUGGAAGCCUGAUCCAGCCAUCCCGCGUGCAGGAAGACGGCCCUAUGGGUUGUAAACUGCUUUUAUCUGGGGAUAAACCUACUUACGUGUAAGUAGCUGAAGGUACCAGAAGAAUAAGCACCGGCUAACUCCGUGCCAGCAGCCGCGGUAAUACGGAGGGUGCAAGCGUUAUCCGGAUUUAUUGGGUUUAAAGGGUCUGUAGGCGGACUGAUAAGUCAGUGGUGAAAUCCGACAGCUUAACUGUCGAACUGCCAUUGAUACUGUUAGUCUUGAGUAAGGUUGAAGUGGCUGGAAUAAGUAGUGUAGCGGUGAAAUGCAUAGAUAUUACUUAGAACACCAAUUGCGAAGGCAGGUCACUAAGUCUUAACUGACGCUGAUGGACGAAAGCGUGGGGAGCGAACAGGAUUAGAAACCCCGGUAGUCCCAUGA
RNAcentral lists this ribosomal RNA (475 nucleotides) under uncultured organism. Its description in RNAcentral is "partial 16S ribosomal RNA". It matches the Rfam family "Bacterial small subunit ribosomal RNA", at positions 329 to 800 of the family's 1533-position model. The record is from RNAcentral.